CAGUGAAAAAUUUAUUUGCAAAAUAUGGCGAUCCCUAUAGUGGUAUUUCUGAAGCUUCGCUAUGCUUGCUUUCCCACCAACAAGCAGUAAUCCAAUCACUGGUGCACCAGCGGCCAUCCACCAGGACGAUGCUGACAGCCAAAGAAAGCUCCUUCCCCACCGCUGACAGCCGAAACCGCUCUUGUGCUCAUCAAGGUUAGUCAAUGUAUAGGACUGCGCUUUUGUGUGUCCUUUCCUUCAAGCUGUCAUUCAGGAGAAGAGAGGAGCGAGGCCUCGAUCCAGACUCAGGAGGAGGAGGAGACGAGGAGCAACACCUAUUUUUAUUGUCCGUCAA
Long non-coding RNA from Aegilops tauschii subsp. strangulata, 334 nucleotides. RefSeq lists it as uncharacterized. Lineage: Eukaryota; Viridiplantae; Streptophyta; Magnoliopsida; Poales; Poaceae. The record is from RefSeq and is a predicted model, not a curated record.